Molecule: ribosomal RNA, 500 nt
Filed under: Anguilla marmorata (giant mottled eel)
Lineage: Eukaryota; Metazoa; Chordata; Actinopteri; Anguilliformes; Anguillidae
Description: partial 16S rRNA
Rfam family: Bacterial large subunit ribosomal RNA
Source: RNAcentral
GAAGGUAGCGUAAUCAUUUGUCUUUUAAAUAGAGACCUGUAUGAAUGGCAUAACGAGGGUUUAACUGUCUCCCUCCCCCAGUCAAUGAAAUUGAUCUGCCCGUGCAGAAGCGGACAUAAACACAUAAGACGAGAAGACCCUAUGGAGCUUUAGACAAAAGAUCAAACAUGUAAAGAAACCAAACCAACCAAAAGGAACACAAAGGCCACAAAACCCAACGUAAAAUGAUCAAAAUGUCUUCGGUUGGGGCGACCAUGGGGGAAAGAAAAGCCCCCACGAGGAACUAAGGGCAAUCCAUUAAGCCAAGAGAUACACCUCUAAGCAACAGAAAAUCUGACCAAAAAUGACCCAGGACACUAAUCCUGAUCAACGAACCAAGUUACCCUAGGGGAUAACAGCGCAAUCCUUUCCCAGAGUCCAUAUCGACGAAAGGGUUUACGACCUCGAUGUUGGAUCAGGACAUCCUAAUGGUGCAGCCGCUAUUAAGGGUUCGUUUGUUC